UUUUUUUUUUUUUUUUUUUUUUUUUUUUUGCUGGGGGGAAAGUUGUAUCAUGGAAAAAGCCCAUGCAAUCCUGGUCUUAAAUGAUUUGCUUUUAUUUUUUACUCUAAUUUCUAAGUCUCUGUCCUAUGAGCAGCACCCCUUCUUUGGAAACAAAAACAUUUUAGAAGGCUAGCACUGAGAGAUGCUGCAGGAAAAGUAUGUAUCAAACUUAUGUCAAGUUUACAGAAUAAAGACAAUGUGUGUGUCUCAUCUCUUAGUUAUUUUUGAUUUGUUUUUUUCCACCCCUGUUUUGAUUGGUAUUGAAAAUGCAAUGAAUUAUUUACCAUUAAUUGAAUAAACUUAUGCAAGCUAUUUUAUUCUUGUAAUUUUAUAAGACUGGAUUUAUAGAACUGACUUAUAUAAGUAAACUAUCCAGUAGAAUCACUAUUUCAAAACUAACGAAAGAUUGGAAGAAUCUGAUUUGGUGGUUUCGUUUUAAUCAAUAAUGAAUUUGUAGGUUUUCCUCAUACAAUUCAUCCUUGGCUAUAUGGUAAACAGAACUAAGUUGACCAGGUUGCCAUUAAGAAUAGAAACAUAACGAUUUUUACAAUGUUGCAUAGAAUAUAAACAUCAUGAGAUAAGGAAAACAAGCUUUUCACUACUGUAUUUCUAGCACUCCGAACGCUUCCUGACAAAUAUUAAACAUUAAGCUAUUUGCUGAAUAAAUGCACCUAAGUCCAUGAUUCCUCUGACUGAAGAGAUAGCUAAACUAUAAAACGGAACCAAACAAAACCAAAUCACACAAAAUCAAGAACUCCAGAGGCAGAUCCAGAUCACAGAAAUUUGAACAUUUUAGUAGAUUGCCCAGUAAUUUUGGUCAUCAUCUAAUUUCAGUUACCACCAACUAUUAUACAGCUUGGUACCAUGUAGUAGAAUCCAAAAAUAACUUCACAGACAUGUAUCUCACUUAAAAAAAGAAUUUGAUUGUCUUUAAAAGAAGCACAUUCAUUCUGAUUCAUUAAAUUUGUAUAUCACCCUAUCACUGCCCAAUAGUUCCAUUUUAUUAACUUUCUUUAUCUGGCCACUGAAGACAUUUUGGUUUCCAUUUCCUGAAUUUUACAUGCUUAUAACUUAAAAGUUUUGACAGACUCUCAAUUUAUAUGAAGGUUUAAAUUUGAUCCUUAUUUUUCAUUCUUUUGUUUUUAUAUUUCUUACAGGAAA
RNAcentral lists this long non-coding RNA (1200 nucleotides) under Macaca fascicularis (crab-eating macaque). Its description in RNAcentral is "lncRNA (ENSMFAG00000056204.1)". Lineage: Eukaryota; Metazoa; Chordata; Mammalia; Primates; Cercopithecidae. The record is from RNAcentral.